AUCACAGCACUAUUUAUCUAAAUGAUACCUCUCAUUAGAACACUUCUUACCAGUGGGAGGUAAAGGGCAGGGAUUGACUAGCAAGGGGCAUAAGGGAAUUUUCUGAAGAGCAGUAUAUGGUUUUUUUUGACAGUUUGUGUUACACAGGUAUAUGCACUUGUAAAAAUUUACCAAAUAUUGUACUUAAGAUCUGUGCAUUUUAUUGUAUGUACAUUUUAAAUACAAAAAAGCUAUAGAACAAUACUGAAUACUAAUGAUGAACAUACUAAAAUGUUUAGUGGUGAUGUCUACAACUUACUCUGAAAUGCAUAAAAAAUAGGAUUGAUGGAUGGUUAAGUGGAUAGCUAUAUGAUACAGUAAAUAUAACAAAAUGUUCUAGAAUUAAUUGGUAAAUGUAAAAGUUCACUGUGUAAUUCUUUCAACUUUUCUGUAUGUUUGAACAAUUUCACAAAAUAUUAGGGGGCAGGGAGUAUUGCCUCUACUUUUUUCCUUCUUUUCUUUCUUUCUGAGAUUUCAAUUAGUCAUAUGUGUGACUUUCUUAUCCAAGCUUCCAUCUCUUAAUAUUGUUUUCAUAUUUUUACUUCCUUGUCUCUCCUUAGUAUACCCUGGGUAAUUUUUAAAGAUAUCUUCUCAUUUAUUUUUUAAGAGACAAGGUCUCCCUCAGUCGCCCAAGCUGGAGCACAGUGGCAUAAUCAUAGCACUCUGAAGCCUCAAACUCCUGGGCUCAAGUCAUGCUCUGCUUUAGCCUUUUGAGUAGCUAGGACUACAGGCAUACACUAACAUGCCCAGCUAAUUUUUAAACUUUUUUGUAGAGACAGGGUCUCACCAUGUUGUCCAGGUUGGUCUUGAACUCCUAGCCUCAAGUGAUCGUCUCACCUCGGCCUCCCAAAGUGCUGGGAUUAUAGGCAUGAGCCACCUCAGUGGCUUCAUUUAUUAAUUCUCUCUUCAUCUGUAUCAAAUUUGCUCUUUAACCUUUCCACUGAGUUUUGUUAUUCUAACAAUUAUAUUUUAUAUUUCUAGAGCAUCUCCCCAUCUCCCAACUACCUUCCAACCUGUCUGUCCAUUCCUGGUAAUCUCUUGCUCAUCUUUAUAACAUCCUUUACCUUUUAAAAUAUUCAGAACACAGAAAUUCUAUACUUUUCAUAUCUGUCAAUUCCACUACCUACAGUCCUUGGAGUUACACAUCUACUGAAGUUUAUUUCUGCAGACACUCAUAGCAGUUUGGCUUUUUGGUGUAUUUUUCUCUGUGUGCUACAGCUUGAAUAGCUUCUAUUGCUAUGUCUUCAAGGUCAUCAAUCUUUUCUUCUACAUUAAAUUUGCUUUAAGCUCCUACAGUGAUUUAAAUUUUUUUCAGAUAUUGCAUUACAUAAGUCUAAAAGCUGCAUUUCAUUGUUUUUCAUAUCUUCAUUUUUUCUUAUGUUCAUAUUUUCUUGUAAAUUCUUAAUUAUAUUAGUAAUAGCUGUUUUAAUGGUUUUUUUUGUGCUAAUUCCAUGAUCUCUGUCAUUUCUGAUUCUAUUGACUGAUUUUUCUUCUGGUAUGGAUCAUAUUUUGUUGAAUCUUCAUGUGUCUAGUAAUUUUUUAUUGUAUAGUUGUAACUGCUACAUUGCUUAGUAUCUUGAUGUUGUGAAGUUGUUUCCUUCUUUUACACAGUGUUGA
RNAcentral lists this long non-coding RNA (1656 nucleotides) under Homo sapiens (human). RNAcentral describes it as "non-protein coding lnc-NAA15-2:1". The record is from RNAcentral. Lineage: Eukaryota; Metazoa; Chordata; Mammalia; Primates; Hominidae.